UGGGGAACUUUNNNNCAAUGGGCGCAAGCCUGAUCCAGCCAUGCCGCGUGUCUGAAGAAGGCCUUCGGGUUGUAAAGGACUUUUGUCAGGGAAGAAAAGGCUGUUGCUAAUAUCGACAGCUGAUGACGGUACCUGAAGAAUAAGCACCGGCUAACUACGUGCCAGCAGCCGCGGUAAUACGUAGGGUGCGGGCGUUAAUCGGAAUUACUGGGCGUAAAGCGAGCGCAGACGGUUACUUAAGCAGGAUGUGAAAUCCCCGGGCUCAACCUGGGAACUGCGUUCUGAACUGGGUGACUAGAGUGUGUCAGAGGGAGGUAGAAUUCCACGUGUAGCAGUGAAAUGCGUAGAGAUGUGGAGGAAUACCGAUGGCGAAGGCAGCCUCCUGGGAUAACACUGACGUUCAUGCUCGAAAGCGUGGGUAGCAAACAGGAUUAGAUACCCUGGUAGUCCACGCCCUAAACGAUGUCAAUUAGCUGUUGGGCAACUUGACUGCUUAGUAGCGUAGCUAACGCGUGAAAUCGACCGCCUGGGGAGUACGGUCGCAAGAUUA
Molecule: ribosomal RNA, 550 nt
Filed under: uncultured bacterium
Lineage: Bacteria
Description: bacterial SSU rRNA
Rfam family: Bacterial small subunit ribosomal RNA
Source: RNAcentral